GUCAGUGUGGUGUAGUGGUUUGAGUGUUGGACUAAGACUUUGGAGACCAGGGUUCGAUUCCCAGUUUGGCCA
Molecule: transfer RNA, 72 nt
Filed under: Phrynosoma platyrhinos (Desert horned lizard)
Lineage: Eukaryota; Metazoa; Chordata; Lepidosauria; Squamata; Phrynosomatidae
Description: tRNA-OTHER
Source: RNAcentral